RNAcentral lists this long non-coding RNA (642 nucleotides) under Rattus norvegicus (Norway rat). Its description in RNAcentral is "long non-coding RNA NONRATT005795". Lineage: Eukaryota; Metazoa; Chordata; Mammalia; Rodentia; Muridae. The record is from RNAcentral.
UCACAAAACCAAAACUGUCUCCACACAGGGCCAGAUCAUCUCUGACCGACAGCCCUGAGUGUGGGGUGGGAGGACAUCGACCCUUGAAUUGUAACCCUGGAGGCUGUGAGAGCGGGGAUGAGUUGCCUCCAGGCCUUCUCUGUAUCCUCGAAGGAUGUAUGUAGUAGGUGCUCGAUAAACAAACAAACAGCCCCUUCCCCUGUACUCUCCCUGGAGUUGAUUUGUAGGAUCCUAACAGCUAUGUACACUUACUACAAAGUUUGAAUCUGUUUGCAGAGGACCUGUAGUGUUGCUAUUUGGGGAAUAUCUGACAAAAACAUCUGAGGGAAGGGUUUGAGUUUGAGGAAAUACUGUCAGUUCAUCAUAGCAGGGAAGACAUAGCAGCAGGAGCGGGUGUGAGGCAAUGCACCCCAUCAAGGCAGGAAGUGGGGUGAAGGAUGCUGGUGCUCAGCUCCCUUUCUCCCUUUCAUUUAGUCCAGGACUCCAGCCAUGGGAUGGUGCUCCCCACACUCAGGGAGAGUCAUCCCUUAGUCCUCCCUGGACACAGCCAGGUGUGUCUCCCAGGUGAUUUCAAACCCAGGCAAAAUACCAUAUACGUAAAUAAGUCAACCUUUAAAAAUAAAUAAACAAAUGUCUCCGGGG